Molecule: ribosomal RNA, 157 nt
Filed under: Cetraspora pellucida
Lineage: Eukaryota; Fungi; Glomeromycota; Glomeromycetes; Diversisporales; Gigasporaceae
Description: 5.8S ribosomal RNA
Rfam family: 5.8S ribosomal RNA
About the family: 5.8S ribosomal RNA (5.8S rRNA) is a component of the large subunit of the eukaryotic ribosome. It is transcribed by RNA polymerase I as part of the 45S precursor that also contains 18S and 28S rRNA.
Source: RNAcentral
AAACUUUCAACAAUGGAUCUCUUGGUUCUCGCAUCGAUGAAGAACGCAGCGAAAUGCGAUAAGUAAUGUGAAUUGCAGAAUUCCGUGAAUCAUCAAAUUUUUGAACGCAAAUUGCACUCCUUGGUAUUCCGAGGAGUACACCUGCUUGAAGGUCAGU